GCUUUGUCUCCGGGGGAGGCGUCUCCGGGCUGACCGCGGCCGCAGCUCCGCUCCUCUGCCCGAGCCGUGCGGCAGCCCUGGGAGCCUCUGAACGCCGAGCUUUCCUGAGAAGCCCGCGGCCAUCCGGGCCUCGGCCGCCGUUCCUGCCCGAACUGAGGGCACAUCGCGCCUCGCGCGGGAUUUCCCAUAAAUUCAGGCUCCGGGCAAGAUUGUGUGUUUUUCCCUCUCCGCGGGCCGCCGCUGGCCGUGUGGGCCGAAGAAGCCCUGGAGGGGGAGAGGGGAGCCGCUCUCGACUGGGCCUGCGGCGUGGGAGGGACAGUGAGGACACUUAGGGACUGUGUGGGGCAGUGAAGGACAGUGUGGGAUGAGGAGGGACGGUGUGGGCCGGUGAGGGACUGCGUGGGACAGUGCGGGACAAUGAGAGACGGCGUGGGACAGUGAGGGACAGUGUGGGACAGUGAGGGACAGUGUGGGACGGUGAGGGACAGUGUGGGACAGUGAGGGACAGUGUGGGACGGUGAGGGACAGUGCGGGACUGUGGUACAGUGUGGGACUGUGUGGGACGGUGAGGGACAGUGCGGGACUGUGGUACAGUGUGGGACGGUGAGGGACAAUGAGGGACAGUGAGGGACUGUGUAGGACAGUGUGGGACGGUGAGGGACUGUGUGGGGCAGUGAGGGACUCUGGGACUGUGAGGGACUCGGACAGUGAAGGAUGGCAAGGGAUAGUGUGGGACAGUAUGGGACAGUGGACUGAGGUACAGUGAGGGGCGGUGAGGAACAGUGAGGGACUGUGUGGGACAAUGAAGGAUGGCAAGGGACAGUGUGGGACAGUGGACGGUGAGGUACUGUGAGGGUCGGUGAGGGACAGUGUGGGACUGUGAGGGAUGGCGAGGGACAGAGUAGAACAGCAAGGGAGGAUGAGGGGACAGAGUGGGCCGGCGUGGGGCGGUGAGGCCACGCGGGGGAAGCCCAGGGAUCCUCUGACUGCGUUGGAAAAUGGAGGAAAGGUCCCGCUGGAGGUUGAGCCCUUCAGGGUCGCUGUGGGUUUCCAGGAGGAGCUCCCCCACUACUGACUUAGGGGGCCCUCGGCUUCCCAGUGUCAGAAGAAGCUGUCUUUGGAGUGAGAACAAGGGUGAGGUUCUGGCUCAGAAACCUUAGAAUCACGGACACUGUUUUCCUGAAAACAUUGCUUCUUUCUCUCCUCUCAAAGAAAUGCCACAAGUCGUAUCUCUGGAGGCCCGAAGUCCAAGAUCAAGGUGUCACCACGGCCAUGCUGCAUUCUGGGUGGAAUCCUUCGUGGCCUCUUCCUGGCUUCUGGCUGUGGCUGGCAAUCUUGGCGUUCCUUGACUAGCAGCUGCGCCCCUCCCCUGCUGUGCCUCCAUCUUCCCAUGGUCCCGGUCAUACUGGAUGAAGGGCCCAUCCUACUCCACAAUGAUCAUCUUUAAAAAAAUUGCAUCUUCCUCACAGCUACUCUUUGAUGAACGGUAGUUCCCACUUUAUGGCUGAGGAAACAGAAGCAAAGAGAGGUCAAGCAACUUGCCCCAGGCUGCACAGCUAGGAAAUGGAUGAGCCAGGAUCUGAACCCAGGCAGUGUGGCCUGAGCCUGAGCUCAUUAGUUCAUGCCAGGCGGGGUUUGACCAAAACCUUGGACUCACUCCUGUCUGCUUUCCUUCAAUGACUAAGAGGAUUCCUGAGAUGGAUGUGCAAACAUGAAGUGUUGACUUUCCUCCAUGGGAAUGUACUUCUGGGUUCUACUCUUCAGCUGCUGCUGCUGCUGCUAAGCCACUGAGGUUUCCCCACUGCGAGCCCUUCGAGAACAAUGUCAUGUUGAUCGAUGGCAGUGACUCACGCCAGACCUUUCCAUGCCUCCUCUGCAAGGACUCAAGAGAGUCGAGGGCAAAACCGUGCCAUAGUUCCAUGAAGGAGGGCAAAGAGCUUUAUCCAUGCUGAGGAACAGGCAGAUCAUGUGGCUACAGCACUGGUCUUUACCUUUUAACUGCUUGAUUCGAAACAUUCCAGCCAGGAACAGUGGCUCACACCUGUAAUCCCAGCACUUUGGGAGGCCAAGGCGGGUGGAUCGCUUGAGCUCAGGAGUUCGAAACCAGCCUGGGCAACCUGGCAAAACCCCAUCUCUACAAAAAAAUACAAAAAUUAGCCAGGCCUGGUGUGUGUGCCUGUAGUUCCAGCUACUCGGCAGGCUGCGGCCGGAGGAUCACUUGAGCCCAGGAAGUGGAGGUUGCAGUGAGCUGAGAUCGUGCUGCUGCACUCCAGCCUGGGUGACAGAGCCAGACAUUGUCUCUAUAAAAAAAAAAAAAAGAAAAGAAAAGAAAAAAGAGAAAUGGUCCAAGACUAUGGAGAAAGCCUUCUUUGGGGUCAGUGUGAACCAUUCUUUCGUUCGUUCAGCAAAUGCUUACUGAGGAGCUACCGUGUCCCUGAAAUUGCCUCCACCUCCAAGAAGACAGUGGUGAGCAAGUCAGACAAUACCUCUAAUCUCAUGGAAUUUAUAAGUAAAUGGGCCAUUACAAUUACCAGAUCAGAAGUGCUGUGAUGAGCAAAUAGAGGCUCGUGGGAAACUCCUAAGAAGGGCUUCUGAGCUGGACUUGGGGGUCAGGAAAGGCAGAAUGUGGGGGCUGACUCAUCCCGACCGGGGCGGGACUAGCGGGGGUGCCUCCCACUUACUGUCUGUCUCCUUCUAGACUGACUUCUCUGUCAUCAUGAAUACACCCCUUUAAGACAUACAUUUAAGAGAAAAUAAUAGGAUGCCUUAUUUAUUUAAAUGUUUGUUACAUUUUUACUAACAACCACAUACCCACAGGAAAGUCGCAAGUAGAACUCAAAAACUUUUUUCUCUGGGGCAGUGAAGAGUCAGUUGCCAGCCAGAAGGCCCAUAGAGCCUGAGCACUUCAGGGUGUGCUUCCUACAGAUAAGGACAUCCUGCUGCAUAACAGGAAAGGGGUCCUGAUCCAGACCCCAAGAGAGGGUUAUUGGAUCUCGCACAAGAAAGAAUUCAGGGUGAGUCUGUAAAGCGAAAGCCAGUUUAUUAAGUAAAGGAGUAAAAGAAUGGCUAUUCCAUAGACAGAGCAGCCCUGAGGGCUGCUGGUUGCCCAGUUUUAUGGCUAUUUCUUGAUGAUAUGCUAAACAAGGGGUGGAUUACUCAUGCCUCCCCCUUUUAGACCAUAGAGGGUAAUGUCCUGAUGUUGCCAUGGCAUUUGUAAACUGUCAUGGUGCUGGUGGGAGGGAAGCAGUGAGGAUGACCAGAGGUCACUCUCGGCGCCAUCUUGGUUUUUGGUGGGCUUUAGCCGGCUUCUUUACUGCAACCUGUUUUUUCAGCAAUGUCUUUAUGACCUGUAUCUUGUGCCGACCUCCUAUCUCAUCCUGUGACUUAGAAUGCCAUAACCAUCUGGGAAU
This is a long non-coding RNA of Pongo pygmaeus (Bornean orangutan), 3410 nucleotides long. RefSeq lists it as uncharacterized. Lineage: Eukaryota; Metazoa; Chordata; Mammalia; Primates; Hominidae. The transcript is spliced from 5 exons. The record is from RefSeq and is a predicted model, not a curated record.